RNAcentral lists this ribosomal RNA (621 nucleotides) under uncultured fungus. RNAcentral describes it as "eukaryotic LSU rRNA". It matches the Rfam family "Eukaryotic large subunit ribosomal RNA", at positions 24 to 664 of the family's 3401-position model. The record is from RNAcentral. Lineage: Eukaryota; Fungi.
CCCGCUGAACUUAAGCAUAUCAAUAAGCGGAGGAAAAGAAACCAACAGGGAUUGCCCCAGUAACGGCGAGUGAAGCGGCAACAGCUCAAAUUUGAAAUCUGGCCCCUCGGGGUCCGAGUUGUAAUUUGUAGAGGAUGCUUUUGGUGAGGUGCCGCCCGAGUUCCCUGGAACGGGACGCCACAGAGGGUGAGAGCCCCGUCUGGCUGGCCACCGAGCCUCUGUAAAGCUCCUUCGACGAGUCGAGUUGUUUGGGAAUGCAGCUCAAAAUGGGUGGUAAAUUUCAUCUAAAGCUAAAUAUUGGCCAGAGACCGAUAGCGCACAAGUAGAGUGAUCGAAAGAUGAAAAGCACUUUGGAAAGAGAGUUAAACAGUACGUGAAAUUGUUGAAAGGGAAGCGCUUGCAACCAGACUUGCGCGCUGUUGAUCAUCCGAGCUUUUGCCCGGUGCACUCGGCAGCGCUCAGGCCAGCAUCGGUUUUGGUGGGCGGAUAAAGGCCUUGGGAAUGUAGCUCUCUUCGGGGAGUGUUAUAGCCCUUGGUGCAAUGCACCCUACCGGGACCGAGGACCGCGCUUCGGCUAGGAUGCUGGCGUAAUGGUUGUAAGCGACCCGUCUUGAAACACGG